This 485-nucleotide ribosomal RNA is filed under the name uncultured bacterium. Its description in RNAcentral is "partial 16S ribosomal RNA". It matches the Rfam family "Bacterial small subunit ribosomal RNA", at positions 30 to 507 of the family's 1533-position model. The record is from RNAcentral.
AUUGAACGCUGGCGGCAGGCUUAACACAUGCAAGUCGAGCGGGGAAAGGUAGCUUGCUACCUGACCUAGCGGCGGACGGGUGAGUAAUGCUUAGGAAUCUGCCUAUUAGUGGGGGACAACAUCUCGAAAGGGAUGCUAAUACCGCAUACGUCCUACGGGAGAAAGCAGGGGACCUUCGGGCCUUGCGCUAAUAGAUGAGCCUAAGUCGGAUUAGCUAGUUGGUGGGGUAAAGGCCUACCAAGGCGACGAUCUGUAGCGGGUCUGAGAGGAUGAUCCGCCACACUGGGACUGAGACACGGCCCAGACUCCUACGGGAGGCAGCAGGGGGGAAUAUUGGACAAUGGGGGGAACCCUGAUCCAGCCAUGCCGCGUGUGUGAAGAAGGCCUUUUGGUUGUAAAGCACUUUAAGCGAGGAGGAGGCUACCGAGAUUAAUACUCUUGGAUAGUGGACGUUACUCGCAGAAUAAGCACCGGCUAACUCUGUG